RNAcentral lists this ribosomal RNA (366 nucleotides) under uncultured bacterium. RNAcentral's name for it is "bacterial SSU rRNA". It matches the Rfam family "Bacterial small subunit ribosomal RNA", at positions 335 to 695 of the family's 1533-position model. The record is from RNAcentral.
ACUCCUACGGGAGGCAGCAGUGGGGAAUAUUGCACAAUGGGGGAAACCCUGAUGCAGCCAUGCCGCGUGUGUGAAGAAGGCCUUGGGUUGUAAAGCACUUUCAGUAGGGAGGAAGGUAGUGUAGUUAACACCUGCAUUAUUUGACGUUACCUACAGAAGAAGCACCGGCUAACUCCGUGCCAGCAGCCGCGGUAAUACGGAGGGUGCGAGCGUUAAUCGGAAUUACUGGGCGUAAAGCGCAUGCAGGCGGCCUGUUAAGUCAGAUGUGAAAGCCCGGGGCUUAACCUCGGAAUUGCAUUUGAAACUGGCAGGCUAGAGUCUUGUAGAGGGGGUAGAAUUUCAGGUGUAGCGGUGAAAUGCGUAGAG